ACCCAUAUAUUCCAAUGGACAGGAUAUCUGGCUUUCAUCUAGAAGAUCUGGGUUCAAAAUUCCCAUGGACUGGCUUUCAUCCGGAACAUCUGGGUUCAAUUCCCAGUAUGGGUU
Seminavis robusta is the source of this 114-nucleotide non-coding RNA. The record is from the annotation of a GenBank genome assembly. Lineage: Eukaryota; Bacillariophyta; Bacillariophyceae; Naviculales; Naviculaceae.